Molecule: long non-coding RNA, 1006 nt
Organism: Lytechinus pictus (painted urchin)
Lineage: Eukaryota; Metazoa; Echinodermata; Echinoidea; Temnopleuroida; Toxopneustidae
Exons: 3
Source: RefSeq, a predicted model, not a curated record
GGUCUCCUUGGUGGAAACCCAGAAGGACUUGGUGACUGAAUAGUGAACUGUGGCUUAGGUUUCACAAGGGAACGACAGUUUCACACAGCAUCCAGAUGCGGCGAGGUGACGAGAGGGCGAUGCAGUACUCGGGGCAAUCCGGGGGUCACAUUAAAAAUUUGUCAAUCGCUUUUCAACAUAAUAUCUCCGCGGACUAUCAACCAAAAGGACCGGGGUUCAAAUUUCACCAAACAUUCGCGUCCCUUGGCAAGGUCAUCAUAAUUUUGAUCUUUGGCCACAAUCCGAGAACCCUAGGAACCAGCCCAUGAUGACUUCAUUUUCUACUUCACAUCACGAACGGGUCGCUAUUAUUGAUUUAAUACGGUCGAUAGUUAAUUAGGCUGAUUAAAACAAACCCAUUACAUUUCCAGCGGACAGAAUUACAAGUGUAAGAGAGAAAAAUUGUUUUCAUUCAAUAUACGAUCCGAUGAAUCAUAGACAAUUAUACGGCAUCAAUCGCCAGACACCAUAAAUAUCACCCGGGAAUCAUGGGAAUACAUACAGUUAGGUACCGGACACAUCUAAUCUCAAUGUAAAUUAACAGUAGACCUACCAUCACGACCAUAAAAUCGUUAUCAAUUAAUAUGAAUCCUUUUUAUAUUAUUUCUCUUUUACAAUCUGACUAAACAAAGCAUAUUUUCAAUAUUUGAAUUGACCGGCAUCCUGAUCUGUCUCCGAAGUUUGUUAUUGGAGUCUGGGAAUUAUUGGUAGGCCUAUUAAUUUAAUCACGUGAUUCAGACUAGAUUGACCAACCGGAAACGCGUUAUUUAAUCUCAGUAAUAUUAUGGUUGGCCGUUCAUGGCAAUAUUUUUUUUCUUGAAUCAUACACGUGAAUGACAUAUGGUUCCUUCUUGAUGUGCCAUGUAGUAACUUAACUCUAAUUUGGUAACUUAUGUAGAAAUUUAACUCUAAAAUUUUGAUCAUUGUUGAAAUAGUAUGUUAAAAAUAUUGGAAAUAAAAUUUCAUG